UCCUGCCCAGUGAUAUAUUCAACGGCCGCGGUAUCCUAACCGUGCAAAGGUAGCAUAAUCACUUGCCUAUUAAUUGUAGGCUAGAAUGAACGGAAAAACGAAAUAUAGGCUGUCUCUAUAAGUAAAAUAAAAAUUAAUUUCUAACUGAAGAGUGUUAGAUAGAAUCGAAGGACAAGAAGACCCUAUAGAGCUUUAUCUAAACAAGAGAUAUUAAUAAGAUUCGGUUGGGGCGACCAAGGAUAACUCUAAUCAUCCUAAAUAAACAGAUUUAUACAUCACAGUCUUGACAAAAAAGAACAAGCUACCUUAGGGAUAACAGGCUAAUCUUGCUAGAGAGUCCUUAUCUAAAGCAAGGAUUGGCACCUCGAUGUUGGCUUAGGGAAACUAUUUGACGCAAAAGUCAUAUAAAGAUGGUUUGUUCAACCAAUAAAUCCCUACAUGAGCUGAGUUCAGACCGGCGUAAGCCAGGUUAGUUUCUAUCCACGAUCCUAUUCAUAGUACGAAAGGACCUGAGUAAGGGUAAUUUUAUUAAUGAAUUAAUAUAAUAAACAUAAUAUAAUAAACACUAU
RNAcentral lists this ribosomal RNA (569 nucleotides) under Carpetania elisae. RNAcentral describes it as "Hormogaster elisae partial 16S ribosomal RNA". It matches the Rfam family "Bacterial large subunit ribosomal RNA", at positions 1857 to 2827 of the family's 2925-position model. The record is from RNAcentral. Lineage: Eukaryota; Metazoa; Annelida; Clitellata; Crassiclitellata; Hormogastridae.